This 72-nucleotide transfer RNA is filed under the name Bos taurus (domestic cattle). It matches the Rfam family "tRNA". Rfam says of the family: Transfer RNA (tRNA) molecules are approximately 80 nucleotides in length. Their secondary structure includes four short double-helical elements and three loops (D, anti-codon, and T loops). The record is from Rfam by way of RNAcentral. Lineage: Eukaryota; Metazoa; Chordata; Mammalia; Artiodactyla; Bovidae. RNAcentral also lists the same sequence under 2 other names.
UCCCUGGUGGCUCAGAUGGUAAAGCAUCUGCCUGCAAUGUGGGAGACCCGGGUUCGAUUCCUGGGUUGGGAA